Molecule: transfer RNA, 73 nt
Filed under: Treponema sp.
Lineage: Bacteria; Pseudomonadati; Spirochaetota; Spirochaetia; Treponematales; Treponemataceae
Description: tRNA-Thr
Rfam family: tRNA
About the family: Transfer RNA (tRNA) molecules are approximately 80 nucleotides in length. Their secondary structure includes four short double-helical elements and three loops (D, anti-codon, and T loops).
Source: RNAcentral
GCCAUCUUAGCUCAGUUGGUAGAGCGCCUGACUUGUAAUCACGAGGUCCCCGGUUCGAUUCCGGGAGAUGGCU